Molecule: long non-coding RNA, 490 nt
Filed under: Carica papaya (papaya)
Lineage: Eukaryota; Viridiplantae; Streptophyta; Magnoliopsida; Brassicales; Caricaceae
Description: long non-coding RNA (CPAP_LNC001216)
Source: RNAcentral
AAAUAGGUGAAAAUUUUGGUUUUAUGGAUAUUUUUGAAAGAAAAAUUUAAAACUGGGGGUCAAAAUAUAAUUAAAAAAACUUGUGCCAUGUAGGAUGCUCGGUCAGUAGCCCCGGCAAACCAGAACGCGUCGCGUGGCAACGGACACUAAUGCAGUGCCACGCAGAAGGCCAUGCGGGCGAUCCGCGUGCCCAUGAUCGAACGGCCUAAAUAUGUUCUCGCGCACACGGACGGCCUGGACACGUUCCCUCCCCAAACGUGAUUGGACGACCAAAUUUAAAUGCAAUCAACGGUCCAGAACUGCUUCCUAUUUAAACGCGAUCAGACGGUCUAGAUUAGAUCGCGAUGGACGGUUCAGAUUCACUCUCUAUUUAAUCGCGAUCAAACGGUACAGAUCAAAUGCGAUGGAUGGUCUAGAUUAAAAGGGGACGAGUAUAAAUAAUCCCCUUCACACCAAACCCUAACCCUAGCUGUCACUCGCUGCCGCGCCG